CCUACAGGGGUCAGCAGUGGGGAAUAUUGGACAAUGGGGGCAACCCUGAUCCAGCCAUGCCGCGUGUGUGAAGAAGGCCCUCGGGUUGUAAAGCACUUUCAGUGAGGAAGAACGCCUGGUGGUUAAUACCCAUCAGGAAAGACAUCACUCACAGAAGAAGCACCGGCUAACUCCGUGCCAGCAGCCGCGGUAAUACGGAGGGUGCGAGCGUUAAUCGGAAUUACUGGGCGUAAAGCGCGCGUAGGUGGCUUGAUAAGCCGGUUGUGAAAGCCCCGGGCUCAACCUGGGAACGGCAUCCGGAACUGUCAAGCUAGAGUGCAGGAGAGGAAGGUAGAAUUCCCGGUGUAGCGGUGAAAUGCGUAGAGAUCGGGAGGAAUACCAGUGGCGAAGGCGGCCUUCUGGACUGACACUGACACUGAGGUGCGAAAGCGUGGGUAGCAAACAGGAUUAGAUACCCCGGUAGUC
Molecule: ribosomal RNA, 465 nt
Filed under: Vreelandella stevensii
Lineage: Bacteria; Pseudomonadati; Pseudomonadota; Gammaproteobacteria; Oceanospirillales; Halomonadaceae
Description: partial 16S ribosomal RNA
Rfam family: Bacterial small subunit ribosomal RNA
Source: RNAcentral